AAAUUGCGGUGAAUUCAUAUCAUGAAACUACUCAGCAAUAAAAAGAAACAAUUCCCUGAGUACCUAACAGUGUGGACGAUCUAAAACCAUGCAGAAGAAAGAAGCCAAACAGAUAGAGUGAGUCCCCCUCUACGAAGGUCAGGAACUGGCAAAACUGACUUGUAGGGAGAGAAGUCAGAUCAAAGACCAGGGGAAUGUACCUUUUGGUAAAAGCAGAAAACAAACAAAACGAUGAGACCAGAACUACGGCAACCAGCCCAAGCACCACUUCGAGCUCCAGGAAAGCUGUGUGAUGCUGAAUAGACUGCUCAACCUCUCUGAGGCUGGUGUUCUUAUCUUCAAACGGGGAUAAAAGAUCUACCAGUCUAGGCUAGAAGUCUGAAAUCAAGGCAUCGGGAGGCCAUGCUCCAAGACUCUGAGUGGAACCCUCUUUGCCUUUUCCUGACUUCUGGUGGUGCCGGCGGCCCUUGAUGUUCUUGGCUCUUUAAGCAUCUCUGCAACCUCUGCCAUCAUCUUCACACAGCGCCCUCCCUGUGCAUCUCUGUCUUCAUACGAUGUUUUCUUCUUUUCAUGAGGACAGCAGUUAUAUUGGGCUACAAUCCACCCUACUCUAAUAUGGCCUCAUCUAAUCAUACCUGCAAUGACUCUAUUUUUAAAUAAAGCCACAUUCAGAGGUACCCAGUUUAGGACAUGAACUUUUCGGGAGACACAGUUCAACUCAUCACAGAAAAUAAUCAGGGGUCUGGACAUUCUGUGUCAAUGAGAUUGAGCCACUAGUUGUUAAUAGUAUUUCACUCAUCUCUGCUGAUAUUUUUAAAGAACAUGUGAAAGGGGUGAGGUAUCUGAUAGAAAGCCCUCCCUCAUGUAAUUGAUGAGAUAAGGGUUCUAAUUUUCCCCACAGAAGUUAUAAAGAGCACCUGAGCUGUCAGCCAAAUCAAAUUGCCAGUGGAAAGCAGGUGAACCUAAGGAAGCCAUGGGGGUGAGACGUGCCUGGGCAUGCCCUGUUCAUGGUGGCACCGACCCACACAGCAUUCAUAGAAUUCAUACCUUCCCGGAGCUGGCGUGACUCCUGGGAGACCACAGUUUCUGAGAAAAUAGAAAGCCAAGUGUAAACUGGACUGGUCACAAAGACUCCGCAGGGAGCUGGCUGCAGACACCCACUCAGUCCAGUCCUGUGGGCACACAGUUGGGUCUUAGGGGAAAAAGAAAGCUUAAGUUAAAACUGCAACAGCUCUUCCAGGAAAGAAUUUUUUCAACCCAGGGACACAAAGAGCGCUGCUUUGGAAACCUUCUAACAGAGCGGAACAUGAAGGCGAGCACACCCCCGCCCAGGUUUGACUCAGGGAGGACCCAGGGACCUCGGGCUGGAGCCCAGCAGGAGCCGGGAACUGCCUUCUGUGGAUCACAGCUGAAAGGGGUAGCCAUUCAGAAUCUCUGACAAAGGGCCACCGACUUAAGGUCCCCAGCUUCUACAGCUUCACCAGACCCUGCUCAGCAAGAAGGUGCUGACAAAACCCAUAUGCGUCCAAUCCCACUUCCAGGGAAGCCCCUGCCAAAUAAGCAUGGGAGCCAUGCUUCCCGCUGCCCAUCAGAACCGGCGAUUUUGAAUCUCUCUUUCCACGGCAGUAGCUCCUGCAAGAGCCCCCAUCCCCAUCGUGCCACUCAGCCGGGCUGGGGCUGCUGGGGAAGCCCUGUGUUCCCAGGGCUUUGCCCUCUGUGUCUUAGCAGCCACAGCUCCUGACUUCCAUUCCCCCUUCAAAGUCCGUGGGAGGGAAGAGGAGGGAAACUAGGAGAGACUUUGGAAUCUAAAGGAAACAAGGAGGAUGUUUUCCUAAUGCCCAGAGGAUAUGUGUAACUCUUUUUCUGCAGACAGAAGCUUCGUCGGUACUGGGGUUAGUUCCUGCAGUAUUUGGUAUCCUAACUCAGCGGUUAUGGUUUAUCUAGCCCGUGUGAACUGGUCCAGGAAGACGAGCACCCUUCCCAACUUAGUCUACACAAGAGAGUGCUUCGCUUUAGGGAUUUUUUAAAAACUUGAAAACAGCUUUGAAACACAAUUCAUCGGUACAUUUUCUUCUCAUGGCAUUUAGAUAUUAAAAACAUGUGCAUGCAGGUUCUCCAACAUUAGAAUAAGACUUAAAAGGAUGGAAACCUACGUCAUUUGUGGAGUAUCUGUUUUGCUCAGAAAUGGACCACGAUAGCAUCGUGGCACCGUAAGGUGGUGAAGUACUACAGAUAGCACAAGGAAGACCAUUUGAACUCCAAAAGGCUGUGAUUGACAAAAACUAACAAGAGACAGCCCCCCAGGAAAUUCAGGGUUUAUUGCUGAAUUCUCAUGUAUGAAAGUUUGUGGGAUUUGUAAUCACAGGGGCUACCUCCCAGGAAACCGUGAUAGCCAUUUUUCCACCGUAGUUUUGCACUUAAUGGACUUUGCCUCCCAUAAUUCAGGAAAAUGUCUUUUGUUGUGCACAGUGGAGGCCGAGUGCUAUUGAGAGUGUGUGUCCUACAAAGGGCCUCACUAUCUGAGGUCUGCAGCCUGUCUCCUAGGCACUCCCCACUUCAAGAAGCAGCUCUGAGAACAGAUUAAUGCCUGGAUGCCAAGGAGCAAUGAAGUUCACCCAUCUUAUCCAGGGGCUGAGCUAAUCUCCUUAAACCUUUGUACAAGAGCGGGGCCAGUCACCCACAUGAUGCUGUCAAUGUGCUUUCAAAGCCCCACUUCAAAGAGGGAGAUCAAAUGGGGGGUAAUUGAAAGGGACAGCGAUGUGAGGGGGUUCCUGAGACGCCCCCCAACGAUGACUAUGAAUGCGGCACACACCACCCAAAUGACAGGAAGGCAAUGCGUUGCGGUGGCUGGACUCCAGGAAGGAGCUCUGCGGGAACGAUGAGGUCUGUGGGUUUUGCUGCUGCUGUUGCUUUUGCUGUUGGUGGGCUUUGAGAAAAACACGACUGGCCGGGCUCCCUGCCUUCUCCUUCUCCUGUCGAAGUCUCUACAGCUAGGACCCUCCUGUCCUGACAGGCUCAGCUCUGCAUCUUGAGGUCCCUCUGACCUCCCAGCUGACCCUCCAUGUAACCCAGGCUCACCCAGGACUCUUUGGGACCUGAAGAUGCUCUAUUCAUCCAUUUGUGCUGAUUAAUAAAGUGAAUUCUGAACAUCUCGGCGGCUACAGUCUCGGUGGCUCAGCGGGGUGGAUGGGAUUGCUGCUGCCAAGUCCUCACCCUCUCUGAACUAAAUGCGUCAUCACGGACUGUGAGGUCCCUCCUACUUCGGGGGAGGGCACCAGCCCAUCCCCGCCAUUGAGGUCAGGAUUGCCUGUACAACCUUCAUGGGUCUACAGCCUUUAUUUUUUGCAUUGAAGGCCAGCAGGGGGCUGGUGCAGUUCUGCUGCAGGGGUGGAUCGGCUGGGCUCAGUUCAGGUGUGUUCCACACCUGUCAGCCUCACGGCCAGGAAGCCACCUGAGACACACUGUCUCCUGACAGAGCUCAGGAGAGCAAGAGGUGUGAGGAGAUGCACUUGGUGCCCUUAUGUCUUGGUGCACCGGGCACGUGGUCAAGCCUGUUCACAUGCACAACUGUCCAUGGACACAACCAAGGCACAGUCCAAUGGCACUAGUCCAAGGGAGGGGUGAGGACUUGGGGGCAGGAAUCCAGCCCUUCCCAAGCCCUAAACCCUUUACAACAGAAGGGCAACUAAAUACACAGGGAGACAGGUAGACUCACAAGUGAUCAGAAUAAAAGCCAGUGCACACCCCAGAUAACUGCAGCGGCCACGAGCCUUGUAAAGACCCAUGUUUUACGGAGGCAGCCACCAGCUUGCAGAAGCUGAGCUUCCUGUGGCCCUGAUUCUGCAUUACUGAACUACUCAUAGAACCACUGUUUCUGUCCUCAAAGCUUCUGUCUUGGUCCCAUUGCCUGACUUUAUAACAACCUUGAAAUACCCACCAGGACUGGUGAUCUCAUUCAAGACACAGAGGUCCGUCUCAGGCACUGUGCUGGGGCCUGCCUGUGCCCAGCCUGCCUGUAGGACUUUGGAGUCCGCAAUGUCGAAGUCCUUCUGCAUUUACACCCUGUGGCCUGAACCCUGACAUCAUCUCACCCCCAGACCACCCAACCCAUGACUCUUGGACACAAAAAGAAAUAUCUUCUCCAUUAGAAACCAGCACCUGAACGCAGCCAGGGUCCCCGGUCACACCAGAAACUGUUGCUUUGACCAAUCUCCACAGGGAUUUUGACAAUCAAGCAUAGAAACCACCAAAAAAGUAAAUACCGAGGUUGUAUUUUCUUUUCUUUUUCCUUUUUCUUUCCUUUUUCCUUUUUCUUUCCUUUUCUUUUCUCACCAAUGCAUCCACUUGUUUGGACGAGCAGGUCAUAAGGACAGGCAGGAGAUGAGUCACAUCUGACUUCACAAAAGUGCUUAAGCCUUUUCACAAUCUCCAUUUAAAGCCAGCCAAGCCUUUUAGAAUUGCCCAUCUCACAGGAAUGUUUGUAACAAGGCUAGGAAGGAAGUGUGUGCUCAGGUCGGCCCGUCCCUGGCUCCCGGAGGCAGGCUCUCCGGUGCAGCGGCAGCUGCCAGCCCUGGGGUCGGGCUUCAUAUUUUCUCAUGCCUUCAACAAGUCCUCCCUGGAGGAGGGGCAGUAAGCAGAAGGCAGUACAAGUGGCACAUUCUCCUUCUAAUGAGCACAGCACACUAACGUCUCUCGGAGGGGGCCCAGCUCUCCUCACGUUCCUCUGGGCCCAGGCUCCCUGCCAGCCUUUUCUCUUCCCCAGAGCAUUCAAUCGCUGUCAACAGAGCCAGACAAGAAUAGAAGCCGCUCAGAGACUCUCUUUUGUUUUGCUGGGACACUUCAGCACAUUCUCAUGGAUCCUUCAAAGGAAGGCAAUUAUCUGAUCAUUCUUGGGAGCAAUUAAAAUGUGGAAGGAUACAUCCUGCUUCAACCCGCCGAGUUUGUCUUUCCAAAUCACAUGGGCAAUUGAUUACACCAUCAACAAACCCCAUGUAACCCUCCAAGGAACGAGGUGCGUCCCUUGCAGUAGAAAACCGAUAACCCAAGACAUGAAGGUUCGAAUGGAUGAUUGGCUUAGCUGGAAUUGUGCUCCUCUGGAGGAGACUUUUUAAAUGUAUUCCUAGUUGCAAGUCCAGAAGCAAGGGAAGUGAGGCCCUCAGGGUUCUAUCAGAGCCUGGGAAGGGGAGGAGAGCAGAGAUGCUAAAGCAGUAGCAGAAGAUCCACAGACCCCUGGAAGGACAUGGAAGCUCGCUUUGAGCUGCUCCUUAGUUCAUGGGGGUCUCUCCAGCAUAAAGAGCUUCCUUCCUAAAAUGGGAAGAGGGCUGUUUGCACAGAGAGAAGCGUAGCCUUAAUACUGUACUUUGUCCAUCCCUCCAGAAAGCCCAAGGGAGGGGGCAGAUGGUUCAUCUGCAAGUGAUCCCAGGCCUAAAGCAAAGAGAUGGAUGGUCGGAGCCUCCGCGCGGUUUUUCCUGGCUACCUCCAUACCACCAUGUCACCUCUCUGUAAAGGCGAUAUAGGGAGCACCAUCUGGGUGUUGUAGCUCAUCUGGCUGUUGUAAGGAGUAAAUGAGAUGGGACGUGCCACACACAUGAUAUGUGCCCGGCUCACAGGAGGCACCUUAGUAAGUGGUCACCAUCAGAUAUACUAGUGAACCUGAGAGUGGCCCUUACCAACGUGGAAGGCUGGGGUGUUUGUAAUCAUCACUCAAGGCAAAGCAGAAAGAAAUCUAGGCUAUUUUUUAAGACUCAUUGUGUUUGGUCACAGGCAAAAAUAGAAUCCAUCCUCAUGCAACCAUCCUUUAAAUAGUAUUUCAACAGAGGGUUAAAGUGUUGGUUUGGGGUGUGAGAGUGAUACCUUAUUCAUUCAGAAGUCCCUCAAAGAAGAGGAUGGAGAAACAGACACGAUUCCAUGAAAUGAUCACUUUCCCCAGGCAAUCACACCAAGGAAGGUCAAAGAACCUCCUCCCCGAAGGUUCACUGCUGGAGGUGGAGAUCACAGCCAACUGACAAUAUAACUGCUGGCAGAUAUUUUUAGGUGGAAAGUCCCACCGUUUCCCGUACCUCACUGUGACCCUCAUUACGGCAUUAGGAUGGGAUUACCUUGCUCUCUUCUGAAAUACUAGCUUAUCCGUGGCACCAGCAACAAAUACAAGCAGCUUGUCUGAUGGAAAGGUCCUCUACUUAAGAACUAAACUUCCCCCAAAUCACAAGCCCCUUUGCUGAAACAAUGAAAAAUUUAGGUAAGCUCUGGAUUGAACUAUUUCCCUCCCUUUGAAAUAACUGGAUGUUUAGUCAUAACAAAUAAGAAUGAUUCUGGUAUCUUGUGGUCACGACAUAGCAUUUUUAUGUUUUUUUUUUUUUAUUUUUCACUUUACAUCUCACUACAUGGACAUGCUACCUUCAAUUCAACCCCAGGUUACAUCAAAACCUCUUGACCUUUCAUUUAAAGACAAAUAAAAGGCAGCUGCUGGGCUGUGAAAUUGUGAAUAACAAACGGAACCAUUAUUUGAAAGGUUUCAAAUUCUGAUGAACAGAAAGAUUAUUUUGGAAAAUCUAUAGCGGAGAGUAGUAUAAUUAUAACUUAGAUUUGCGUGGUGCUCAAUCCAAACUCAUCUCCAAACUGAACGUGGUUUUCUAACAAUAACAUUCCUCCAAAAAAGGGGGCAGCCUACAAACCAACAUAAGCGUAAGAUGCACUUCCUGUCCAGCUAAAAAUAAACCUGCAGACAUUUGAAAGCAGCAUAGAAUCCUUUCUAACAAUAAAAACAAACUCACCCAUGUCGUUGGGCCAAGGCUUUGACAUUUUAAAAAUCAUUAUGGUGAAAAAUAAACGCAACCUAUAACGUGAGCUAUUGUUAGAAAUCCUUGAGAAAAAUGCCUCAAAUAGAGAACUCGAACGUCCACUCGCUAAAAAUGAAACCGUUUUACUUGGGCAUUGUCAAAGGUCGAAUGGUUUUCUCCAAAAAUGAUGUUGAAGUCCUAACCCCCAGGACCUCAGAAUGUCACCUUAUUUGGAAAUAAGGUCCUUGCAGAUGUAAUUAAUUAGAACGAGGUCACAUUGGAAUGGGGUGGGCCCCGCAUCCAAUAAAACCACUGUCCUUAUAAAAAAGAGGCACGCCACGUGAAGACCGAGACACACAAGAAGAACACGGGGUGUGGCUGAAGGCGGAGGUUGUGACGACGCAUGUACAAGCCUGCAGGAGCAUCCGCGAGCACCGCUGGCCCCACCGGAAACCGGGAAGAGGCAGGACAGCUUCUACCCCGAGCCUCAGAGACAGUCUGGCCUUGACAUCACCUUGAUCGUAGAAUUCCAGCCUCCAGAAUGGAGAGCAAAAGAACGCUUUUCAAUGGUUUUGUCAAAAGUGGUGAAAAGGUGGCGAAUCGGGUCCCUGCCGCAUGGCCUGCCUGGAGCACUGUGCUGCGUGUUCACAUUCUGUCCUUCGUCUUCACAAUGGCUCUGGUGGGUGAGUUAACUGAGAGCAUCAUCGUAUUGAGAGCUUUUUUCUGAGUAUUCAGUAACUCACUCAUUCUCCGUGGACUAUAUUCUGAUCCAGCUCAGACUGAAGCUUAAGUCAUUAGGGAAAAGAAAUCAGCCAUCUAUUUUUUUUUCCUAUAUCAAGUAAUACUUGGAAUCCAGCCCUCUACUCCACUCCUAAUAUAACUAAAAUCUCAGCUCUAACCCCCAGUGGAUUCACACUUAAUGGCUAUAUAUGUGUGCUAUUCAUCGCUGUUUAUCUUCUACUUAACCAAUGCCUGGGAAGUGGCAUUUGUAGAGUGAAUGAAUGGAAGGAUGGAGAGAUAGAUGACAGCUCUCUGGGGGGACAGAGGGAAGGAUGCAAAGGAGGGAGUGAGGAGGCGACGAAAGAGGAAGAGAUGGAGAACACCAAUCUUUUUUUCCUUGUUGUAGUCACUAUAAAUCACCCCCAGUCUGUGACUCUCAUUUGGAAGAAGUGCAAAAUAAAAAUAAUCUAAGGUAUGCAAAGCUUACAAAUUUAUUAGCAGCUUGUGCAGUAAGUUUCUUUUAAUGCGUCUGUGGCAAUACUAGCAACAAA
Molecule: long non-coding RNA, 8050 nt
Filed under: Homo sapiens (human)
Lineage: Eukaryota; Metazoa; Chordata; Mammalia; Primates; Hominidae
Description: HSALNT0206874
Source: RNAcentral